AAAUAAGCUUGGGAGAAUUAAUUUACCCCUUUGACUCAGCUGCAUAAUAUGAACCUCUCAGAUUACUUAGCAUCAUGUGCACUUUCUCUCUUUUUUCAUCCCAGCCCUCAACUCUGAUCUGAAAGCUGGCACAUAUUUGACACAGAUAUUUCUGUGCUUGUGUUUGGAGCAUGCUGAGCCCUUUGGGGUGGUAGCAAGUGAUGCUGUGCCUCACAGAGCUGGGGUGCACCUGCAAGGGUGGCUCAGCCAUUACCUACAGUACUGUCAGAUCACAGGUUUCAAAUCAGUGCUGCUGCUCUCAGCUGUAAGCAGGGCUGCACACAGACAGGGUGGCCUCUGUGUGAACAGUAGGAGUUUCCUGGGGAAUAAUAAAAUAUGACAAUAAAAAUGCUAUUGCCAUGAGCCAGGGCGGUGUAGGGUACUAACAGCUUCAUUUAAGCCUCAUAACCUGAGAACGUGGAACUUGAUAUAAGAUAAAAAGUGCAGCUGAAAUGCAAGGUACACUUGUUUAGGGCUUGGAAUGAUGUUUGUAUGUUUCAGGGACUGGAGCUUGCUCACAUCUGGAGAGCUGGGAGUGUGUGGCACUGUUUAGACCUACUGUUAGUCCGAAGAUCUCUCUUUCUGGUUCUGGUCAAGUAUAUGCUACCAGAUUAACAACAUUCAGUUCCCAGGAACAGCUCAAGGAAAAAGAUGGAACUCCAAACCUGAGAUUGAGAAGUGGUGAGAACCAUCAUCCAGGAGAUGUCGGGUCCCUCAGUCAAACAUCAGAAAACGUAGACGUCAUGCAUGACCUUUACCUCAGAGUCACAGAUAGCCACCAAGGCAAGUGCUCAGAUGAAAACCAGGAGGUAGGAUUGGAUUUGAAAAUCUAUGGAAAACUACUGCAGAGAGUGGAGCAAAGGUCUGUUGCAGCUGAAGAGAUUCACAGCUCUAUUUUGAACUAAUUAAGGUGUCAAGGUUUUCCUAGCCUGAUAUAGAUGCUAUGAAAGUGGUACCUGCAAUUGUUCCUGAAAGAGAGCUUCACAUCAGGAGGAAAAGUACUCCUCCACCCAUUAUUUACCUGCAUUCUUGACAGACCUCGUUAUCUGAUCGGAUGUGAUGAAGAACUUGCUAGCAUCCAGGCUUUGUCUCCUUUUGGGAUCUUUCAUUUUUUUCCAGCUCUCAGCAUGGAGCAUAAGCAGGGGAAAGGUCUGGAAAUGCAACAGCAGUUUGUCCUACCAUAUAGACUGAUCUGCUUCUACAGGCAGUGGUGCUGAGUGUAUGCUUUUCAGACUGGAGCGGUGUGGCGAAGUGCUGUAACUUACAGCUUUGAGCCAUCUAUCCUGAAAAUAGUCCGUUCCAGUGCUUGCUAUGAGAUGUCCAUACAUCCUAUUCAGACACUCAGAUUUGCAACCAGUUGAGUUCUGAACUGACGUCAAUAAAAUAGUUCUUCCCCAGGACA
Molecule: long non-coding RNA, 1441 nt
Filed under: Anser brachyrhynchus (Pink-footed goose)
Lineage: Eukaryota; Metazoa; Chordata; Aves; Anseriformes; Anatidae
Description: lncRNA (ENSABRG00000017068.1)
Source: RNAcentral